UGGGGAAUUUUGCACAAUGGGGGAAACCCUGAUGCAGCGACGCCGCGUGAUUUAGAAGGCCUUCGGGUUGUAAAAAUCUUUUUUAUGGGAUGAAAAUGACAGUACCAUAAGAAUAAGGUCCGGCUAAAUACGUGCCAGCAGCCGCGGUAAUACGUAUGGACCGAGCGUUGUCCGGAAUCAUUGGGCGUAAAGGGUACGUAGGCGGCCCAGUAAGUUAGAAGUGAAAUAAUAUAGCUCAACUAUAUAAAGCUUUUAAAACUGCUAGGCUUGAGAGAUGGAAGGGAAAGUGGAAUUCCUAGUGUAGCGGUGAAAUGCGCAGAUAUUAGGAAGACUACCGGUGGCGAAGGCGACUUUCUGGUCAUCAUCUGACGCUGAGGUACGAAAGCGUGGGUAGCAAACAGG
Molecule: ribosomal RNA, 402 nt
Filed under: Bacteroidota bacterium
Lineage: Bacteria; Pseudomonadati; Bacteroidota
Description: Bacteroidetes bacterium partial 16S ribosomal RNA
Rfam family: Bacterial small subunit ribosomal RNA
Source: RNAcentral